UACAGAGGGUGCGAGCGUUGUCCGGAAUUACUGGGCGUAAAGGGCGCGUAGGCGGUCCGAUAAGUCGGGGGUGAAAGUCAGCGGCUCAACCGCUGGACUGCCUUCGAGACUGUUAGGCUUGAGCAUGGUAGAGGCUGGCGGAAUUCCCGGUGUAGCGGUGGAAUGCGUAGAGAUCGGGAAGAACAUCGGUGGCGAAGGCGGCCAGCUGGGCCAUUGCUGACGCUGAUGCGCGACAGCGUGGGGAGCAAACAGG
Molecule: ribosomal RNA, 253 nt
Filed under: uncultured bacterium
Lineage: Bacteria
Description: partial 16S ribosomal RNA
Rfam family: Bacterial small subunit ribosomal RNA
Source: RNAcentral